CAGGUUUCUCGAAAAACGAACACAGAUUUUAAUUGAUUGUUCGUUGUCGUCGAAACCUGAA
This 61-nucleotide microRNA precursor is filed under the name Limulus polyphemus (Atlantic horseshoe crab). RNAcentral describes it as "Lpo-Mir-76-P7_pre stem-loop". Lineage: Eukaryota; Metazoa; Arthropoda; Merostomata; Xiphosura; Limulidae. The record is from RNAcentral.